RNAcentral lists this ribosomal RNA (237 nucleotides) under uncultured bacterium. RNAcentral describes it as "partial 16S ribosomal RNA". It matches the Rfam family "Bacterial small subunit ribosomal RNA", at positions 524 to 759 of the family's 1533-position model. The record is from RNAcentral.
UACGGGGGGGGCAAGCGUUGUUCGGAAUUACUGGGCGUAAAGCGCGCGUAGGCGGACCUGCAAGUCGGGGGUGAAAGCCCGAGGCUCAACCUCGGAACUGCCUUCGAUACUGCGGGUCUCGAGUCCGGGAGAGGUGAGUGGAAUUCCUAGUGUAGAGGUGAAAUUCGUAGAUAUUAGGAAGAACACCAGUGGCGAAGGCGGCUCACUGGCCCGGUACUGACGCUGAGGCGGCGAAAG